AGUGAAGAACUCUGGAAUGAGUCUUUGCUAAAAAGACGUUUACGUUAUGCUCGUAGGCGUCGCCCAAGGAUGAGGCCGCGACCGAUCAGGUUGUUGGUGAGGUAAUGGCUCACCAAGCCUUUUACCGGUGCGGGCCGUGAGAGCGGGAGCCCGGAGAUGGGCACUGAGACAAGGGCCCAGGCCCUACGGGGCGCAGCAGUCGCGAAAACUUUGCAAUACACGAAAGUGUGACAGGGCUAUCCCGAGUGCCAUCCGCUGAGGAAGGCUUUUACCCAGUCUAGAACGCUGGGGGAAUAAGGAGAGGGCAAGUCUGGUGUCAGCCGCCGCGGUAAUACCAGCUCUCCGAGUGGUGUGGAUGUUUAUUGGGCCUAAAGCAUCCGUAGCUGGCUGAGUUAGUCCCUUGUUAAAUCCACCGAAUUAAUCGUUGGAUUGCGGGGGAUACUGCUCGGCUAGGGGACGAGAGAGGCAGACGGUAUUUCCGGGGUAGGGGUGAAAUCCUAUAAUCCCGGGAAGACCACCAGUGGCGAAGGCUGUCUGCUAGAACGCGCCCGACGGUGAGGGAUGAAAGCUGGGGGAGCGAACCGGAUUAGAUACCCGGGUAGUCCCAGCUGUAAACGAUGCAGGCUAGGUGUUUGGACGGCCACGUGCCGUUCUAGUGCCGCAGGGAAGCUGUUAAGCCUGCCGCCUGGGGAGUACGAUCGCAAGAUUGAAACUUAAAGGAAUUGGCGGGGGAGCACCACAAGGG
RNAcentral lists this ribosomal RNA (745 nucleotides) under uncultured archaeon. RNAcentral describes it as "bacterial SSU rRNA". It matches the Rfam family "Archaeal small subunit ribosomal RNA", at positions 156 to 887 of the family's 1478-position model. The record is from RNAcentral.